Molecule: long non-coding RNA, 469 nt
Organism: Tupaia belangeri chinensis (Chinese tree shrew)
Lineage: Eukaryota; Metazoa; Chordata; Mammalia; Scandentia; Tupaiidae
Exons: 3
Source: RefSeq, a predicted model, not a curated record
AUAAUAACUAUAACAGUAGAGUUUCACAAUAAAAGAAUAAUGGCAAAUAUAACUAUAAUCAGUAAGAAUUAAGAAGCUACUGCUGCUGGACCAACCAGUGACAUGGAUCCCACAUGGCCAACUGGGUGAUUUGAGCCCUGCAUCUAACAGCCUGAAAAACAGCCUGGGCAAGGUAUGCAGACUGAAGUCCCAAUGGGAUAUACUGCAGGCCCACCAGAACGAUGAAGACAGAAGGAAGAUGCACUGAGGUGCUCAGGCCCGGAAUCGUCUUGAGCUUCCCGACAACAUCCAAUCCAGUUAAAGCCGUUCUUCCUGAAACCUGCCUUAAAGCCCCGAACCCUGACUCACACCCUAUAUGUCUUCUAUUAAACUCUCGUUCAAGGCUUCCCAUGAGUUGGAUUUCCCCUCGGGGUAGGGGCGAGUAAUGAACCCACGAGUUCAAGUAAAUGUGUGUUCUUGGUGGGCUUUG